CUCGUAGGUGGCCAACUAAGUCAGACGUGAAAUCCCUCGGCUUAACCGGGGAACUGCGUCUGAUACUGGAUGGCUUGAGUUUGGGAGAGGGACGCGGAAUUCCAGGUGUAGCGGUGAAAUGCGUAGAUAUCGGGAGGAACACCUGUGGCGAAGGCGGCCCCCUGGUUGGAUACUGACGCUGAGACGCGAAAGCGUGGGGAGCAAACA
Molecule: ribosomal RNA, 207 nt
Filed under: uncultured bacterium
Lineage: Bacteria
Description: partial 16S ribosomal RNA
Rfam family: Bacterial small subunit ribosomal RNA
Source: RNAcentral